GGACCCGCACAAGCGGUGGAGCAUGUGGGUUAAUUCGAUGAUACGCGAAGAACCUUACCUACCCUUGAAAUCCCUAGAACCCUUCGUUAUGGAAGGGGUGCCUUCGGGAACUAGGUGACAGGUGCUGCAUGGCUGUCGUCAGCUCGUGUCGUGAGAUGUUGGGUUAAGUCCCAUAACGAGCGCAACCCUUAUCCUUAUUUGCCAGCGGUUCGGCCGGGAACUAUAAGGGGGACUGCCGGUGACAAACCGGAGGAAGGUGAGGACGACGUCAAGUCAUCAUGGCCCUUACGAGUAGGGCUACACACGUGCUACAAUGGGGAAUACAGACGGACGCUAAAGCGUGAGCUGGUGCUAAUCCUAAAAAUUUCUCGUAGUCCGGAUUGCAGUCUGCAACUCGACUGCAUGAAGUCGGAAUCGCUAGUAAUCG
RNAcentral lists this ribosomal RNA (427 nucleotides) under uncultured bacterium. Its description in RNAcentral is "bacterial SSU rRNA". It matches the Rfam family "Bacterial small subunit ribosomal RNA", at positions 917 to 1344 of the family's 1533-position model. The record is from RNAcentral.